CUUAGGCUGACUGGUCAGGGGGUUUCCCUCACUGCCUUUUCUUCCUUUUUAGCCCUGUUGAACUUUCCCUCAGAAUGAACAUUUUACAGAAUUCCAGUGGGCCGAGGUCGCCGAAGUCGCAGUCGAAGAGUUCGCUGAUGCCCUCGUGGUCCUCCAGUCCGAAGUGGUAGUCCUGGCUGUGGGGAGGAGAUAAGCUGAUGAAGCUGUCUAUAGGCAGGCCAAAGCUGUCCCCACCUGUACCUCCAGAAGUGGCCCGAUCCAGUAAGAAGUCCGACGAACCCAACACUGGAAGAUCGAAAUCAGGCAUCUCACAAAUACCAGAGAAGGGGUCCAGGAAUGACUCUGAGAAAACAAGGAGAAAGAAGGAAGAGGCGAGGCGCUGGGCAGAGUAGACGGAGUCGAUGCUGCAUCUUGUGCUGCUGUUGAGGACGUCUGAGGAGGGCUGGGACUGGACGACUUGGCUGGACUACAAUCUGUUACAGGACUACAAACCCCAGAACUGUCCUCUGGACACAGGAAGACGUCGAUGGGACCAUUGGAGCUCUUUAGAGAGAUCUGAUAGCCCUGGUGACGCAAAAAUAACUGCUGAUUACAUUCAAGCAUUAGGUUGGUGAUAACGGUUUUCCAGAAAGUCUUGCCCAAAGAUUUGCACUGGUGUAGUGUGGUGCACUUAUCCACUACGCUGUUCAAACCACCAUAUAUAGUUUUAAAUGUAACAGGGUAGAGCUAGAGUGCAAAAACAUUUUAAAUUUGUUUUUAGUACCUCAGUGGGCUCUGUGACGGUCAUCUGAGUCUCGGGAGGGGCUCUGAUCACCAUGACGAUUUGAUCUGGGGGGUCCACCGUGUUCCGCAGGUCCUGACACCUCACGUAGCUCAGCGUAGCUUCAAGUUAAAGAGAAUGCUGCAGACAGGGAUGUGUGCUAUUUACCUACACAAAGGCUCUUAAAAAGUAGCUAGAAAGGGCUUUUGAGCGAUGCCACAGAAGGUCUUUUAUUUAUCAGACAUACAUAUCUCUUAGCAAACAGUUCUUCUGUAGUAUCACUGCAAAAACCCUUUAUAGCAUCUCUGUUUUAGGGAGUGCAAACAGCUAUAAAGGAUAUUUCUUGUUGCUGGAGUCCUCUGUCAGCAGUCUGAGCUGGAGACUGCACUUGUUGAGGAGUUCAUCCAGCUUUUCUUCAGCUUCAGACAGUUCAGAAACCUCCCUCUGCAGCUCCUGAUAUCGCGCCACUGAUUCCCCGUCAAUACGAUUCCCCCUAAAACAACACAAACACAAAGUGGCUUCAGAGCAAAGAUACCACCCUCUAAUGCUUAUGUGUUUUUUCAGUCACUACAUAAACUAAAAUAGUUAACUAGGAUAUUUCUGUUCAUUCUCUAAAAUAAUCAAAUACAUCCUAGCAAUAUUAGCAAUGCACCGAUUAUUUGGCAACUAAAAAUAUUUAUCUCAAAAAGGUCAAAAAAGCAAAAAGAAGAAAAAAAAAUGAAACCAAACAGAGGAACAUUUUUAAGUAUAUAGAGCAGGCAGUAAUGAACCAAAAACAUGGAGAUCAGGUAAAUUGAAUACUCUGAAUUGAUCUGAUGUGUAUGUGUAAGGUGUGUGGUAUGUAUGUAAGCUUGUGUGUGUAAGUGUGUAAGUGUGUGUGUAAAUGUAUGUAUGACUGUGCCCAGAUAUGGAUGGGCACUCUGUCCUGGGUAAAUGCUGUAGUGCCCGAUGCACUCCUCCAGGUGGACGGUUGAGAGUACGCUGUGCGCUAUUGGCUGCCGCUUCUCACUGGUAUGUGGAUGAGUGCUGAUGUGUAAUGUGCUUGUGUGUAAAACGUGUAAAUUGUAAAGUGUCCUUGGGUUUCUAGAAAGACGCUAUAUAAGUUUAACUUCAUUCAUUCAUUCAUAAACAGGGUCACAAUGGGAGCCAAGAAACUCUCUACUCACAUAAAUUAGAUGAAAUACAGUGUUCAGUGUUCA
Long non-coding RNA from Astyanax mexicanus (Mexican tetra), 1959 nucleotides. RefSeq lists it as uncharacterized. The transcript has 3 exons. NCBI's taxonomy places the organism in Eukaryota, Metazoa, Chordata, Actinopteri, Characiformes, Acestrorhamphidae. The record is from RefSeq and is a predicted model, not a curated record.